CCUCAACCUCCUACAUCUCAGCCCUGACCCGUUCCUGACCUCCUUGGACCAUCCCUGAACCUUGGGCCCAUCCCAGCCUCCUUCAACCCAUCCUCAUCAGUCCUUCCUCGUCCUCCUGGGCCCAUCCCAGCCUCCCUCGGCCCUUCCUCAUCCUCCUCGGCCCGUCCUCAUCCUCCUCAGUUCACCUCAGCCUCCCUCAACCCAUCCUCGUCCUCCUCAACCCAUCCUCAUCCGUCCUUCCUCGUCCUCCUGGGCCCAUCCCAGCCUCCCUCAGCCCUUCCUCAUCCUCCUGGGCCCUUCCUCAUCCUCCUCGGCCCACCCCAGCCUCCCUUGGCCCUUCCUCAUCCUCCUCAACCCAUCCUCAUCCUCAACCCAUCCUCAUCCGUCCUUCCUCAUCCUCCUGGGCCCUUCCUCAUCCUCCUCGGCCCACCCUUGUCCUCCCUCAGCCCAUCCUCGCGUUCCUCAGCCCUUCCUCAUCCUCCUGGGCCCAUCUUCAUCCUCCUCCUCCUCAGCCCACCCCUUGGCCCCGCCCCCUCCCCCCGGGGGCAGGGGGGGGUCGGAGGUCGGGGGAAUAAAGGCAGCUCCUCCUCGCCCCACCCGCCUGGUUCGUCCCCGAGGUCCCGGGUGCGGGGACAUCCCAGCCGUGGGGAGGUGGGAGGGGCCUGUCACGGGGACACCGUGGGGCUGGGGACGUCCCGGCCACGGGAACGGGAGACACUGUGGCCACGAGGACACGGGACGUCCCGGCCGUGGGGACAUCUCAGCUGUGGGGGACAAGGAACAUCCCAACCGUGGAGACACCUCGGUUCUGUGGAGCUCCCAACCAUGGGGACAUGCCAGCCAUGGGGAUGAGGGACAGCCCGGCCAUGGGGACACCUCAGCGGUGGGGACACCCCAGCUAUGGGGACAAGGAACAUCUCAACCAUGGGGACACCUCGGCUCUGUGGAGCUCCCAACCAUGGGGACACAGCAGCCACGGGGACGAGGGACAGCCCGGCCAUGGGGACACCUCAGCGGUGGGGACACCUCAGCUGUGGGGGACAAGGAACAUCUCAACCGUGGGGACACCUCGGCUCUGUGGAGCUCCCAACCAUGGGGACAUGCCAGCCACGGGGAUGAGGGACAGCCCGGCCAUGGGGACACCUCAGCGGUGGGGACACCCCGGCUAUGGGGACAAGGAACAUCUCAACCAUGGGGACACCUCGGCUCUGUGGAGCUCCCAACCAUGGGGACAUGCCAGCCAUGGGGACGAGGGACAGCCCGGCCAUGGGGACACCUCAGCGGUGGGGACACCCUGGCUAUGGGGACAAGGAACAUCCCUGCCAUGGGGACACCUCGGCUCUGUGGAUCUCCCAACCAUUGGGACAUGCCAGCCAUGGGGAUGAGGGACAGCCCAGCCAUGGGGACACCUGGGCCAUGGGGACACCUCAGUGGUGGGGACACCCCGGCUACGGGGACAAGGAACAUCCCUGCCAUGGGGACACCUCGGCUCUGUGGAGCUCCCAACCAUGGGGACAUGCCAGCCAUGGGGACGAGGGACACCUUGGCCAUGGGGACAAGGAACACUCCAGCCAUGGGGACACCCUGGCCACGGGGACAUCUGGGCCAUGGGGACACCUCUGCUGUAGGGACAUCGCAGCCAUGGGGACAAGGGACACCACGGCCAUAAGGACAUCCCAGCUGUGGGGAUGAAGGACAUCCUGGCCAUGGGGACACCUGGGCCACGGGGACACCUCUGCUGUAGGGACAUCGCAGCCACGGGGACGAGGGACACCCCGGCCACGAGGCCACCGCUGCCGUGGGGAUGAGGGACGUCCCCGCCGUGGGGACACCCCAACCGCGCAGGUGYCCCCGCCACGAGAUUUCCCCACCCACGAAGACGAGGACACGCGGGACACAGCGGCCACGUGUCCCCCCACCGCCGCCACGCCACCCCGGGGGACAGACCCACAGAGAGACGGGCGGGUGGUGGCCGUGGGGCCCCCGAGGGCGCCACAAGGUUUAUUCCGAGUGACAACGGUGGCGGUGGGAAGAGGACAACCGCCCACCGCGAGGACGGCCGCGCCACCGGGGGGAUCCCGUUGGGAUGAGGGGCCCGGAGAACCCAGGGGGCCNNNNNNNNNNNNNNNNNNNNNNNNNNNNNNNNNNNNNNNNNNNNNNNNNNNNNNNNNNNNNNNNNN
RNAcentral lists this long non-coding RNA (2180 nucleotides) under Apteryx haastii (Great spotted kiwi). RNAcentral's name for it is "lncRNA (ENSAHAG00000015461.1)". Lineage: Eukaryota; Metazoa; Chordata; Aves; Apterygiformes; Apterygidae. The record is from RNAcentral.